GCUGGAAAGGGGGUUACUAGGGAACUAAUUAGGUUCAGCUGGCUCCAACUAUUUGAGACCUUUUUAACCCUUCCUGGUGUGGAAGGGAGCAGGAGGAGGA
Molecule: non-coding RNA, 100 nt
Organism: Chelonoidis abingdonii (Abingdon island giant tortoise)
Lineage: Eukaryota; Metazoa; Chordata; Testudines; Testudinidae
Source: RefSeq, a predicted model, not a curated record